RNAcentral lists this ribosomal RNA (567 nucleotides) under Sarocladium oryzae. Its description in RNAcentral is "partial 28S ribosomal RNA". It matches the Rfam family "Eukaryotic large subunit ribosomal RNA", at positions 73 to 668 of the family's 3401-position model. Lineage: Eukaryota; Fungi; Ascomycota; Sordariomycetes; Hypocreales; Sarocladiaceae. The record is from RNAcentral.
AGGCCAGUACGGCGAGUGAAGCGGCAACAGCUCAAAUUUGAAAUCUGGCCGCAAGGUCCGAGUUGUAAUUUGCAGAGGAUGCUUUUGGCGAGGUGCCUUCCGAGUUCCCUGGAACGGGACGCCAUAGAGGGUGAGAGCCCCGUACGGUUGGACCACCGAGCCUCUGUAAAGCUCCUUCGACGAGUCGAGUAGUUUGGGAAUGCUGCUCUAAAUGGGAGGUGUACGUCUUCUAAAGCUAAAUACCGGCCAGAGACCGAUAGCGCACAAGUAGAGUGAUCGAAAGAUGAAAAGCACUUUGAAAAGAGGGUUAAAAAGUACGUGAAAUUGUUGAAAGGGAAGCGUUUAUGACCAGACUUGGGCUUGGUUGAACAUCCGGCGUUCUCGCCGGUGCACUCUGCCAGUCCAGGCCAGCAUCAGUUUGUCCCGGGGGAUAAAGGCGGUGGGAAUGUGGCUCCCCCGGGAGUGUUAUAGCCCGCCGUGCAAUGCCCUGGGACGGACUGAGGAACGCGCUUCGGCACGGAUGCUGGCGUAAUGGUCAUCAACGACCCGUCUUGAACCCACGGACCA